Molecule: long non-coding RNA, 637 nt
Organism: Orbicella faveolata
Lineage: Eukaryota; Metazoa; Cnidaria; Anthozoa; Scleractinia; Merulinidae
Source: RefSeq, a predicted model, not a curated record
UUAUUCUUGCUGGGUUUCUCUAGCCAUUUCACAGUACAGUCAUGGUGUUGCAUUUGAUCCUCAGGUACCAGAUACCCAUAAACUCCCAAAGGUAGACACAGUCAUAGUCCUAGCCACACACACACUACAUUUUCAAUCUCCCAUGAGGGAGCCACUCUCCUAAGCAAACAGUGUUGGAUUACUGAAUUCCAGCACAAAGGCUUGUGAGAUACUGUUAUUUAUGAAAAAAAGAUAAAGACGUCAAUCAUUUUGUGUUAUUCCAGACAAGAGCACUGUCCAACAUCACCAGUGCAGUCAAGUGCAAGUCAUCAAAUGUCAGACAAACGCACUUUGCAUGAACAGUUUCCAAAAGCAACAAAGAAGGAUGAUAAGGAAUGGCAGUUUUCAACUGAAUUCCUGCUGUCUGUGACUGUGUUCAUGGUUAUGGUUGGCUUGGCCUCAUUGAGAUGACUAAAUGACCUGGACAAAUAAACCACUCCAUGGCUAGAGGCUCAUUCCUGAAGAAGAUUCAAGUUCAACAUGCCCUACCUAAAGAGAAUGGAGCUCUAGACCUUUUAAGUUAAAAGUGCUCUUGGCAUGAAGUAAGAGGAGAGGACUGCUGUAAUAUUUAUGAGGAAAGCUAGAAGGAAAAAAAAAA